Molecule: transfer RNA, 67 nt
Filed under: Marmota monax (woodchuck)
Lineage: Eukaryota; Metazoa; Chordata; Mammalia; Rodentia; Sciuridae
Description: tRNA.Ala
Source: RNAcentral
GGAUGUGGCUCAAGCAGCAGCACGCUCGCCUGGCAUGCAUGCGGCCUGGGUUCGAUCCCCAGCACCA